This is a small nucleolar RNA of Nannospalax galili (Upper Galilee mountains blind mole rat), 70 nucleotides long. RefSeq annotates it as small nucleolar RNA SNORD63. NCBI's taxonomy places the organism in Eukaryota, Metazoa, Chordata, Mammalia, Rodentia, Spalacidae. The transcript has a single exon. The record is from RefSeq and is a predicted model, not a curated record.
GUGCAGUGAUGUAUUUGUCAACAUGCUGUUCUGAAGGAAAAUAUGUGGUGACUUAUUAGGACUCAGCACA